Molecule: ribosomal RNA, 369 nt
Filed under: uncultured archaeon
Lineage: Archaea
Description: bacterial SSU rRNA
Rfam family: Archaeal small subunit ribosomal RNA
Source: RNAcentral
GUGCCAGCCGCCGCGGUAACACCGGCGGCUCGAGUGGUAACCGUUAUUAUUGGGUCUAAAGGGUCUGUAGCCGGCCGGAUAAGUCUCUUGAGAAAUCCAGCAGCUCAACUGUUGGGCUUUCAGGAGAUACUGUUCGGCUCGAGGCCGGGAGAGGUGAGAGGUACUUCAGGGGUAGGGGUGAAAUCUUGUAAUCCUUGAAGGACCACCAGUGGCGAAGGCGUCUCACCAGAACGGACCUGACGGCAAGGGACGAAAGCUAGGGGCACGAACCGGAUUAGAUACCCGGGUAGUCCUAGCCGUAAACGAUACUCGCUAGGUGUCGGCCACGGUGCGACCGUUGUCGGUGCCGUAGGGAAGCCGUGAAGCGAG